RNAcentral lists this ribosomal RNA (559 nucleotides) under uncultured bacterium. Its description in RNAcentral is "partial 16S ribosomal RNA". It matches the Rfam family "Bacterial small subunit ribosomal RNA", at positions 356 to 1375 of the family's 1533-position model. The record is from RNAcentral.
UGGGAAUCUUGCGCAAUGGGCGAAAGCCUGACGCAGCCAUGCCGCGUGAGUGAUGAAGGCCUUAGGGUUGUAAAACUCUUUCACCGGGGACGAUAAUGACGGUACCCGGAGAAGAAGCCCCGGCUAACUUCGUGCCAGCAGCCGCGGUAAUACGAAGGGGGCUAGCGUUGCUCGGAAUUACUGGGCGUAAAGGGCGCGUAGGCGGAUCAGCAAGUUGGGGGUGAAAGCCCGGGGCUCAACCUCGGAAUUGCCUUCAAAACUGCUGAUCUAGAGUACGGGAGAGGUGUGUGGAACUCCGAGUGUAGAGGUGAAAUUCGUAGAUAUUCGGAAGAACACCAGUGGCGAAGGCGACACACUGGCCCGUUACUGACGCUGAGGCGCGAAAGCGUGGGGAGCAAACAGGAUUAGAUACCCUGGUAGUCCACGCUGUAAACGAUGAUUGCUAGUUGUCGGCAGGCAUGCCUGUCGGUGACGCAGCUAACGCAUUAAGCAAUCCGCCUGGGGAGUACGGUCGCAAGAUUAAAAUUCAAAGGAAUUGACGGGGUCAUAGCUGUUUCCU